RNAcentral lists this ribosomal RNA (432 nucleotides) under uncultured bacterium. Its description in RNAcentral is "bacterial SSU rRNA". It matches the Rfam family "Bacterial small subunit ribosomal RNA", at positions 338 to 787 of the family's 1533-position model. The record is from RNAcentral.
CCUACGGGAGGCAGCAGUGGGGGAUAUUGGACAAUGGGGGAAACCCUGAUCCAGCGAUGCCGCGUGAGGGAAGAAGGUUUUCGGAUUGUAAACCUCUGUGGAGGGGGACGAUAAUGACGGUACCCCUUUAGGAAGCCACGGCUAACUACGUGCCAGCAGCCGCGGUAAUACGUAGGUGGCGAGCGUUGUCCGGAAUUACUGGGUGUAAAGGGAGUGUAGGCGGGAAAGCAAGUCAGAAGUGAAAACUAUGGGCUUAACCCAUAGCCUGCUUUUGAAACUGUUUUUCUUGAGUGAAGUAGAGGCAAGCGGAAUUCCUAGUGUAGCGGUGAAAUGCGUAGAUAUUAGGAGGAACACCAGUGGCGAAGGCGGCUUGCUGGGCUUUUACUGACGCUGAGGCUCGAAAGCGUGGGGAGCAAACAGGAUUAGAUACCC